RNAcentral lists this ribosomal RNA (564 nucleotides) under uncultured bacterium. RNAcentral describes it as "bacterial SSU rRNA". It matches the Rfam family "Bacterial small subunit ribosomal RNA", at positions 240 to 803 of the family's 1533-position model. The record is from RNAcentral.
AUUAGCUAGUUGGCGGGGUAACGGCCCACCAAGGCGACGAUGCGUAGGGGUUCUGAGAGGAAGGUCCCCCACACUGGUACUGAGACACGGACCAGACUCCUACGGGAGGCAGCAGUGAGGAAUAUUGGUCAAUGGGCGAGAGCCUGAACCAGCCAAGUCGCGUGAGGGAGUACUGCCCUAUGGGUUGUAAACCUCUUUUGUCGGGGAGCAAAAGCCGGACGUGUCCGGCUGUGAGAGUACCCGAAGAAAAAGCAUCGGCUAACUCCGUGCCAGCAGCCGCGGUAAUACGGAGGAUGCGAGCGUUAUCCGGAUUUAUUGGGUUUAAAGGGUGCGCAGGCGGAUUUUUAAGUCAGCGGUCAAAUCGUGGGGCUCAACCCCAUCCAGCCGUUGAAACUGGGGAUCUAGAGUGUGCGAGAGGUAUGCGGAAUGCGUGGUGUAGCGGUGAAAUGCAUAGAUAUCACGCAGAACCCCGAUUGCGAAGGCAGCAUACCGGUGCACAACUGACGCUCAGGCACGAAAGCGUGGGUAUCGAACAGGAUUAGAUACCCUGGUAGUCCACGCAGU